This 1077-nucleotide long non-coding RNA is filed under the name Sparus aurata (gilthead seabream). RNAcentral's name for it is "lncRNA (ENSSAUG00010024013.1)". Lineage: Eukaryota; Metazoa; Chordata; Actinopteri; Spariformes; Sparidae. The record is from RNAcentral.
AUGCAUCCCCGGCCUGUCUACAAUCCCACCUGGUAUGAAAAAAGUUCAUCCUCUCCCUUUUUUGCUUUCUCCGCCUAUAGAAAAUGUGUGUUAGUACAGGCUACAGAAAGAGGUGGGGGAAGAUGGAUCCUAGGAAAAGCCAAGUGGGAAGAAUUUACAAUGAAAUGUGACAAAAAUCUUUCACAGAUCAGUGAUAAUAUGGAAGUGGAAAGGAUGGAUAGGGAAAUAAAACAGGGGAUCAUAUCAGCAGCAACCAGAUCUAUACCUAGAAGUACAGGCAGGAAGAAAAAUAAGUUGGUACCAUGGUGGGAUGAAAAAUGCAAACAAGCAGUAAAGAGUAGAAACAAAGCAUUUAAAUUAGUUAAAAGAUAUCAUAACUUUCAACAUUUGAUUCAAUAUAAACAAGCACAAGCAAUAGUAAGGAAAACAAUAAGACAAGCAAAGAGGCUGUAUUGGAGGAAGUUCUGUGGAUCAAUUGGGAGCACUACCAAGAUAGGAGAAGUUUGGGGAAUGUUGAAAAAAAUGGGUGGAGAUAGGAAGGAUUGGAAUUAUCCAGUUUUGAGCAAUGGAAAUGAAAUGGCGGUAACCAAUAAAGAAAAGGCAGAGUUAAUGGUUAAAACGUUUGUUGCGGUACACAGCUCAAAUAAUUUAACUGAGGAGGGAAGACAAGGAAGGGAGAAAACCAGAGAUGAAAACAGGGAGAUAUUAAAAAGAAAGGAUAGUAGGGAAAGCGAAGUAGAUGUCCCAUUUACCAUUGGAGAAAUGAAAAGAGCCAUAGCCAAAACAAGAACGAGUGCACCAGGUAAAGAUACAAUAUGUUACAGAAUGAUUCAACAUCUAAGUGAGGGGGGACUAAUGAAAAUAUUGACAUUAUUUAACAAAGUCUGGAAAGAGGGUAAAGUCCCACGAAGCUGGAAAGAGGCAAUAAUCAUACCGAUUAGGAAGCCUGGGAAAGAUCCUAGUAAGCCAAUAAAUUACAGACCCAUAGCUCGUACGUCACAUAUAGGUAAAAUAAUGGAGAGAAUGAUUAAUGAAAGGCUCAUGCACUAUAUUGAAAAGAGGGGACUGGUGACUUAG